Non-coding RNA from Misgurnus anguillicaudatus (oriental weatherfish), 766 nucleotides. The record is from RefSeq and is a predicted model, not a curated record. Lineage: Eukaryota; Metazoa; Chordata; Actinopteri; Cypriniformes; Cobitidae.
CCUGAAUAACAUUUCAUAUAUCCUAUAUAAACUGUUGGAUUUAUUUUAAAAAUCCUACAGAGAGGAUAACUAACUACAUCUGUUACUCCGGCCUUUGACAUCUGGGCAUCUCUCUUACUCCAAGCACUCUUUACAGGAUUUCUUUUUCCAUUGCAGAUGGUCCUGUGCACAUGUUUCUCUUCCAUUGGUUGCGGGUCCGACCCUGCUACCGGAACACCACACACAGUUGUGCAUAAAAGCACGCUUUCACCCUCCUCUGUUUCACCCCCGACACCGCACACCCGCUCCAGUGAAGACCUGCAGCAGCACCGGAGAGUCACUUACUGCGGCAGCAUGAGUUUUGACUGAAACUGUUUAGACUUCACCUCCACGUGUGUCCAGCAGAGGUCAAUACUGAACAACAAUAAUACAGCAACAGUCAGACAUCAUCAAACAGAUGAAAUCUGAAGGACCACAUUGACAUUGAUGUAUAAAACUGAUGAGAUUCUUGCAUAUUUUAGCAUCUUCAGACUAAUAGUUUAGGUAAGUGUGUAUUCACAUUAUUCAAAUGUAUACUCAUGACUUCAUACAUCAAGCUGUUUCUCUUGGUUUGUGCUAUAAGUUAGUAGGUGAUUUCAAAAGGAAAAUAUCAAUCCUAAAAAACAAUUCCAUUUUUAAGUUCAUUAAGAUUUUUUAUGCAUGCAUUUAAUGAUUGUCAUCAUUUGCGUAAUGCAAAAAUAAGUUAUUCUUAUUUCUAUAAUGAGGAUAAAAAGAAAUUGAAUUGAUG